GGACCGUUGGAGUAGUGGUUAUCUCGCCAGACUCUCACUCUGGAGAAGGCCGGUUCGAUUCCGGCACGGUCUAC
Molecule: transfer RNA, 74 nt
Filed under: Plantactinospora mayteni
Lineage: Bacteria; Bacillati; Actinomycetota; Actinomycetes; Micromonosporales; Micromonosporaceae
Description: tRNA-Glu
Rfam family: tRNA
About the family: Transfer RNA (tRNA) molecules are approximately 80 nucleotides in length. Their secondary structure includes four short double-helical elements and three loops (D, anti-codon, and T loops).
Source: RNAcentral